Gossypium arboreum is the source of this 105-nucleotide non-coding RNA. NCBI's taxonomy places the organism in Eukaryota, Viridiplantae, Streptophyta, Magnoliopsida, Malvales, Malvaceae. The record is from Rfam.
AAUCCAUGGUGAGGGCACCUUCUCAAAAGGUCAUUGUAUCUCUCUCGUGCAUCUAGAGUGUUUCUAAAUCCAUCUGCACAAAAGAAGAGAUAUCAUUACGUAAUU